RNAcentral lists this ribosomal RNA (287 nucleotides) under uncultured bacterium. RNAcentral describes it as "partial 16S ribosomal RNA". It matches the Rfam family "Bacterial small subunit ribosomal RNA", at positions 773 to 1060 of the family's 1533-position model. The record is from RNAcentral.
GUGGAUUAGAUACCCUAGUAGUCCACGCCGUAAACGUUGGGCACUAGGUGUGGGGUCCUAUCGACGGAUUCCGUGCCGUAGCUAACGCAUUAAGUGCCCCGCCUGGGGAGUACGGCCGCAAGGCUAAAACUCAAAGGAAUUGACGGGGGCCCGCACAAGCGGCGGAGCAUGUUGCUUAAUUCGAGGCAACGCGAAGAACCUUACCUGGGCUUGACAUGUAGGGAAAAGCCGUAGAGAUACGGUGUCCUUUUGGGCCCUACACAGGUGGUGCAUGGCCGUCGACAGCU